AUUGAACGCUGGCGGCAUGCCUUACACAUGCAAGUCGAACGGCAGCACGGGAGCAAUCCUGGUGGCGAGUGGCGAACGGGUGAGUAAUAUAUCGGAACGUGCCCAGACGUGGGGGAUAACGUAGCGAAAGCUACGCUAAUACCGCAUGUGAUCUGUGGAUGAAAGCGGGGGAUCGCAAGACCUCGUGCGUUUGGAGCGGCCGAUAUCAGAUUAGGUAGUUGGUGGGGUAAAAGCUUACCAAGCCUACGAUCUGUAGCUGGUCUGAGAGGACGACCAGCCACACUGGAACUGAGACACGGUCCAGACUCCUACGGGAGGCAGCAGUGGGGAAUUUUGGACAAUGGGCGCAAGCCUGAUCCAGCAAUGCCGCGUGCAGGAUGAAGGCCUUCGGGUUGUAAACUGCUUUUGUACGGAGCGAAACGGCUCUCUCUAAUACAGGGGGCUAAUGACGGUACCGUAAGAAUAAGCACCGGCUAACUACGUGCCAGCAGCCGCCGCAG
RNAcentral lists this ribosomal RNA (500 nucleotides) under uncultured bacterium. Its description in RNAcentral is "partial 16S ribosomal RNA". It matches the Rfam family "Bacterial small subunit ribosomal RNA", at positions 30 to 523 of the family's 1533-position model. The record is from RNAcentral.